Molecule: non-coding RNA, 222 nt
Filed under: Planctomycetota bacterium
Lineage: Bacteria; Pseudomonadati; Planctomycetota
Source: RNAcentral
CACGGUUGUCCCUUUUUUUGUUUGUAUUCCUCGAAUAUGGGACAGGACAUGGGAAUCCCGUGAAAGACGGGAGCUGCCCCGCAACUGUAACCCGCUCCUUCCUCCGAUGUGGAGGAUGGAAACCCCUGCGACAAACAGUGCCACUGCUUCGCCGAAGGCGGAAUGGGAAGGCGGCCGCAAGGGACGGGAAGCCAGGAAACCUGCCUGAAUCCCAAAAGCCUC